CGCAUCUGUGCAUGCAGCAUAUCAAUAAGCGGAGGAAAAGAAACUAACAAGGAUUCCCCUAGUAACGGCGAGUGAAGCGGGAAGAGCUCAAAUUUGAAAUCUUAAAGGUUUUCCCUUGACGAAUUGUAGUUUAAAGAAGUAGUUUUCUGUUGAAGGUUUUGGUAAAAGUUCUUUGGAAUAGGACAUCAUAGAGGGUGAGAAUCCCGUAUUUGACCAUUACUUUCAGCUGUGUGAUACACUUUCAAAGAGUCGGAUUGUUUGGGAAUGCAGUCCAAAAUGGGUGGUAAAUUUCAUCUAAAGCUAAAUAUUGGCGAGAGACCGAUAGCGGACAAGUACCGUGAGGGAAAGAUGAAAAGAACUUUGAAAAGAGAGUUAAACAGUACGUGAAAUUGUCAAAAGGGAAGCGUUUGACACCAGUGUUGUUUUCUCGAAAAUCAAUCAAAAAGAGUUAGAUUUUGUUGUGUAUUGACCUUAACAGCUUGCAUUUCAAUUUUCUUGCUUUUUUUAAUGCACUUUUCGUUUAACAAGUCAACAUCAGUUUCUUUUGUUGUAAAAAGGUCAUUGGAAGGUGGCUUUCUUUUCGGAGAAAGUGUUUAUAGCCUUUGACUCCUGCAAUCGGAGAGACUGAGGUCUGCAGCGUAGAUCCUUCGGGGUUAGAUACAUUUGUGCUAAGUUAUAGCUUUUUAUAGACAACUUGUUGACUAUGAUUAGUCUUGUAGCUUACUCGCUUAUGCUAUUUUACCUACGCUUAGGAUGUUGAUCUGUAGUGCGUGCGC
Molecule: ribosomal RNA, 776 nt
Filed under: uncultured Neocallimastigales
Lineage: Eukaryota; Fungi; Neocallimastigomycota; Neocallimastigomycetes; Neocallimastigales
Description: partial large subunit ribosomal RNA
Rfam family: Eukaryotic large subunit ribosomal RNA
Source: RNAcentral